UAAUGGGUGAUGGCGUGCCUUUUGUAGAAUGAACCGGCGAGUUACGAUUUGAUGCAAGGUUAAGCAGUAAAUGUGGAGCCGUAGCGAAAGCGAGUCUGAAUAGGGCGUUUAGUAUUUGGUCGUAGACCCGAAACCAGGUGAUCUACCCUUGGUCAGGUUGAAGUUCAGGUAACACUGAAUGGAGGACCGAACCGACUUACGUUGAAAAGUGAGCGGAUGAACUGAGGGUAGCGGAGAAAUUCCAAUCGAACCUGGAGAUAGCUGGUUCUCUCCGAAAUAGCUUUAGGGCUAGCCUCAAGUGAUGAUUAUUGGAGGUA
Molecule: ribosomal RNA, 317 nt
Filed under: Staphylococcus aureus
Lineage: Bacteria; Bacillati; Bacillota; Bacilli; Caryophanales; Staphylococcaceae
Description: partial 23S ribosomal RNA
Rfam family: Bacterial large subunit ribosomal RNA
Source: RNAcentral